GAAACUCGGUGCUAGGUGUGGUGUUUCUAUCUUGUGUGAGUUUGCCGUGUCGAGUCGAGUGUGGCGCUACUUAUGCGGUACUUAUGGAGGCUCCUAUAGAUACACACGGUGCGUCUGCGUGCGCGCGAUCGCAAUCUCAUUCC
Molecule: long non-coding RNA, 143 nt
Organism: Frieseomelitta varia
Lineage: Eukaryota; Metazoa; Arthropoda; Insecta; Hymenoptera; Apidae
Exons: 3
Source: RefSeq, a predicted model, not a curated record